Non-coding RNA from Equus caballus (horse), 702 nucleotides. The record is from RefSeq and is a predicted model, not a curated record. NCBI's taxonomy places the organism in Eukaryota, Metazoa, Chordata, Mammalia, Perissodactyla, Equidae.
UGAACAUAACCACUACACCACCGGGCCGGCCCUGGUCAUAUUGCUACCUUUUGAUUUUUCAGAUUAAGGCAGAAUCUAUGAAGUAGCCGCUCUGAAGAGAGGGGACCAGCUCUCUUGGACUCUGGUGCUAACCCAUCCACAAGCACCAUAAUGGUCGUCCUUCCUCCUCCCACAGUAGACUUCAGGAUGCCAUGCUGCUGUUUCUUCCCAAUUUAAGGCUGCUCUCGAAAUUCAUCUUAAUCUGGUUCUACUGUUACAAAGGUGGAAGACACUCCCUGCGGCCACUGGGCCCCUCUCUGACAGAUGGCGGGCAGACCACGGUCCUCCUUCCACAAAGCCCACGAACGGAGAUGCAGAACUGGGUGUAGGAACAGAGGAGAGUCCGAAGGUCGCCUCCCAGCUCUGCCCACAGUCUGACUUGCCUCGGUGCCUGUGUUAGUCCAGAAGAUUGUGCCACUGAGGAUGCAGAUCGGCCUGGGAAGAUGCUAAGACACAAAAUCUCACAGCUUGGGCCCGACGUUCGAGCACGGUCUAUGUGUUUAGGACUUUCUUGGAAACCGAUGUGUUCCAUUCUUGGAUCAAAAUCUUUCAAUUGCUGAAUUUCAUAUGGAGAAUUUUAAGUCUCCAUAGCUGGCUUAAAAAUGUGGAGAUUUCAUGCCUCCUUACCAGUCAUAAUGUAGUAAUCCAAUAGUAAUGUAAUAA